GGAGACUCGCAAAGCUGGCGUGCUUAUCCGGUUUGAACCCGGUGAUGUCCUCAUGGACGUGGGAGUUCGACCCUCUCAGUCUCCGCCA
RNAcentral lists this transfer RNA (88 nucleotides) under Pseudomonadales bacterium. RNAcentral describes it as "tRNA-OTHER". The record is from RNAcentral. RNAcentral also lists the same sequence under 2 other names. Lineage: Bacteria; Pseudomonadati; Pseudomonadota; Gammaproteobacteria; Pseudomonadales.